CUGCCAUUAUUAUUUUUUGCGUUUAAUUUGUUACAUUUGUGGUACCAGCAUAGAUGGUGGAAAAUACAUAAAUUCGAUAAGCUCUUUGAAGAGAUGUUGUUUGCUAAGGGACCAGUCAUUAUUUAUUGAGGGGGUGGGUGGGUAAAAAUUGGGGGGUGGGUCACAAACAUUUAUAGUAUGGUAAAGGGGGGGUCAUCAGAUAUUAUAUCACUUAGGUGGGCGGGGGGGGGGGGUCAAAAGGAUAUUUUUGAGGAUCAGGGCCCGAAAUAG
Paramuricea clavata is the source of this 270-nucleotide non-coding RNA. The record is from the annotation of a GenBank genome assembly. NCBI's taxonomy places the organism in Eukaryota, Metazoa, Cnidaria, Anthozoa, Malacalcyonacea, Plexauridae.